Molecule: long non-coding RNA, 1602 nt
Organism: Lethenteron reissneri (Far Eastern brook lamprey)
Lineage: Eukaryota; Metazoa; Chordata; Hyperoartia; Petromyzontiformes; Petromyzontidae
Source: RefSeq, a predicted model, not a curated record
UCCGGCUGAAGACAGAAGACCGACCUGGGAGCCCUGAAGAGAGAAGAGCCCCCUGGGCAAAGCCGAACUCCUGGCUAGGUUGCCUGGGUGAAGAGUCGUUGUCUACCUUGUUCCCAAUCCUGGCCAGCUGGCUCAGAACAAGAGUUGUGGAGCGCAUCGGCAGCGCGGAGGAGUUUACUGUGGACUCGUGACGUCUCCGGGAUUGAUUUGGUGGGCAGCCCUUUAAUCAGUUGUGGCGGGUGUCUCUCUCUGGCACAUGAACUACGCGGCGCACAAACACCGGCUGCCGUCACUGCCCCCAGCGCAUUGAGACGCGGCUGCGCGGUGGGGAACGCGCGCCCCGAGCAGGACGAGAGCUCCUCCUGCCGCGCCUCGCCGAGCGGUCACUGAUGCCCGUGUAAAGUUCGCGUCCACCACGGGUACACGGAUCUCCGUUUGAAUGGUAACUCGUGGUGGUGGUGGACGCACGUGGAACACGGUGCGGACUCGGCUCACCGCACUCGCCCCUCGUCGUCCGAUGAUCAGCGCAACAUAAUCACUGCCGGGAGUUGGAAUCGAAGCAGCAACCCCAGUGUCAGAGGCCCAUGUCGCCGACCCCUCACAUGAACAUCACUAGCCCCGCCCACUUCGUUUGUGACCCUUGGGCUACGCUCAUCCUAAACCUUUAAUAAAAUGUUAAAAUACUUUUUUAAAAACACGCUUUAAUAAAAUGUACUGUCCGAGCUGCCCCUUCCCCUGCCCCCUUCCCCCAUCGCCCCUCCCCUCCUUCCACACCCCCCGCCCCUGGGCGUGGCUCCCCGAGGCUUUCCGUGACGUAAGGGACCACGUAGUGAUUUAAAAGCAACGUCAGUUAAGCGUUGACAAUUAGAGCCGUAAAAAUAUCAUUUAAAAUAUUUUUAUUUUAUUUUUAAUGAUAGAAUAUAGUAUUGUCAUCAGUAUGACAUAGCUAUACGAAGUUUGCAGUCGAUAGCACAUUGGGAAGUGUGUAAAAAUUGAGUUACAAGAUUUAUUUUUUGAGGAUACAACAGACGAAGUGAGUUAAAUAAAAGCGUGUAAUAAUAAUAAAAACAGCGCGCCUUCAGUCGCUUUCACCCUCUGAUUUCUUCCUGAUGACGAUCGCUUGUGUUGCGGUCGAAACGUAGUUUUUUGUCGAUUUUAUUUUGUUAAUUUGAACCUAUCUAUGUGACUUUACCGAAAGACCCAAAGAAUAUGAAUUCCUGCAGUCACGAAAACUUUCAGUCAACACACACCCACUGCUGGUAGAACACACACAUAGAGACGCCUUAGCCCAAGGGCAGAGCACGAAGCAUCCCUCUCCAUUAAGAGCCACGUCCACCAUCAUCACCAGCACCACCACCGCUCACGCAUUGCCGCCUCACCUUGAUCCCGCGCCGCGAGCCGGGACUCGAACCGGGGUCUGGUCAAGUCGGAAGCGACGCUCGUGGCCGUUCCUGUUCCGCUCCGUUCUGUAGCGACCUCCAGCGAGCAGCGAGCAGCGAGCACACCUGUGCAUCGCUCACCUGGCUAGAGACGACAACCCACUUGAGCAGGGGUGAUUGAACACCUGGGGAGGGAUGAUAGCACACCUGGGUAGGGAUGAUG